AGUGAACGCUGGCGGUAGGCCUAACACAUGCGAGUCGAACGGCAGCACAGUAAGAGCUUGCUCUUACGGGUGGCGAGUGGCGGACGGGUGAGGAAUACAUCGGAAUCUACUUUUUCGUGGGGGAUAACGUAGGGAAACUUACGCUAAUACCGCAUACGACCUACGGGUGAAAGCAGGGGAUCUUCGGACCUUGCGCGAAUGAAUGAGCCGAUGGCGGAUUAGCUAGUUGGCGGGGUAAAGGCCCACCAAGGCGACGAUCCGUAGCUGGUCUGAGAGGAUGAUCCGCCCCACUGGAACUGGGACACGGUCCAGACUGCUGCGGGAGGCAGCAGUGGGGAAUAUUGGACAAUGGGCGCAAGCCUGAUCCAGCCAUACCGCGUGCGUGAAGAAGGCCUUCGCGUUGUAAAGCCCUUUUGUUGGGAAAGAAAAGCAGCAGGUUAAUCCCCCGCUGUUCUGACGGUACCCAAAGAAUAAGCACCGGCUAACUUCGUG
RNAcentral lists this ribosomal RNA (492 nucleotides) under uncultured bacterium. RNAcentral describes it as "partial 16S ribosomal RNA". It matches the Rfam family "Bacterial small subunit ribosomal RNA", at positions 29 to 507 of the family's 1533-position model. The record is from RNAcentral.